Molecule: ribosomal RNA, 253 nt
Filed under: uncultured bacterium
Lineage: Bacteria
Description: partial 16S ribosomal RNA
Rfam family: Bacterial small subunit ribosomal RNA
Source: RNAcentral
UACGGGGGGGGUAAGCGUUGUUCGGAAUUACUGGGCGUAAAGGGCUCGUAGGCGGCCAACUAAGUCAGACGUGAAAUCCCUCAGCUUAACUGGGGAACUGCGUCUGAUACUGGAUGGCUUGGAUUCGGGAGAGGAGUGCGGAAUUCCAGGUGUAGCGGUGAAAUGCGUAGAUAUCUGGAGGAACACCGGUGGCGAAGGCGGCAUUCUGGACCGACAUUGACGCUGAGGAGCGAAAGCCAGGGGAGCAAACGGG